RNAcentral lists this long non-coding RNA (376 nucleotides) under Mytilus galloprovincialis (Mediterranean mussel). The record is from RNAcentral. Lineage: Eukaryota; Metazoa; Mollusca; Bivalvia; Mytilida; Mytilidae.
UAGGCCAGGAUUUUUUAAUUUGUUGGUUUACGGAUCCGCCGACCCGAUUUUGCCGAUUUCCAAAAUAAAAAUAAAAUCGAAUUUUCAGGCUUUUUUUUUAUUCUCGCCGACCCUAAGAAAUGCAUUAUCCCUGAAAAAUAAUUAAAAUAUCCUUUUUUAUGAAAUAAAAUGCAUUAAUCACUAACAGAAGUGAUGACACUUUCUGUUGUGAAAAAUGAAACUUUCAGUUUACGUUUCUAAAAAUAGACAAAUCAAUUAUUAAUGACCUUGAAAUGUUGUUUGCGCAAAUAAUUUUGCGGAACGAAACCUGUGUUUAAAACCAAUUACACAAUAAGUUCGUUUCCCUUAUUUGUCACCAGUCCGUAAGAUGCAUGUU